AAAUAUGAAGUAAUAAUUACAAUUAGUUUCGACCUAAUAAUAAAUACUUUUGUAUUCUUAUUU
RNAcentral lists this transfer RNA (63 nucleotides) under Paracladura trichoptera. Its description in RNAcentral is "tRNA-Arg". Lineage: Eukaryota; Metazoa; Arthropoda; Insecta; Diptera; Trichoceridae. The record is from RNAcentral.